CUUGGGGCGGGCCUACACAUGCAAGUCGAGGGGCAGCACGGGUAGCAAUACUUGGUGGCGACCGGCGCACGGGUGAGUAACGCGUAUGCAACCUACCCUUAACAGGGGGAUAGCCCGGAGAAAUUCGGAUUAAUACCCCAUAACACUGCGAUCUCGCAUGGGGAAGCAGUUAAAAUUACGAUGGUUAAGGAUGGGCAUGCGUGACAUUAGCUAGUUGGUGAGGUAACGGCUCACCAAGGCGACGAUGUCUAGGGGGCCUGAGAGGGUAGUCCCCCACACUGGUACUGAGACACGGACCAGACUCCUACGGGAGGCAGCAGUGAGGAAUAUUGCGCAAUGGACGAAAGUCUGACGCAGCCAUGCCGCGUGCAGGAUGACGGUCCUAUGGAUUGUAAACUGCUUUUGUAUAGGAAGAAACUUAACUACGUGUAGUUGACUGACGGUACUAUAUGAAUAAGCAUCGGCUAACUCCGUGCCAGCAGCCGCGGUAAUACGGAGGAUGCAAGCGUUAUCCGGAUUUAUUGGGUUUAAAGGGUGCGUAGGCGGAAACUUAAGUCAGUGGUGAAAUCCUGCAGCUUAACUGUAGCACUGCCAUUGAUACUGAGAUUCUUGAGUACGGUUGAGGUAGGCGGAAUGUGUAAUGUAGCGGUGAAAUGCUUAGAUAUUACACAGAACACCGAUUGCGUAGGCAGCUUACCAAGCCGCAACUGACGCUGAGGCACGAAAGCGUGGGGAUCGAACAGGAUUAGAUACCCUGGUAGUCCACGCUGUAACGAUGAUCACUAGCUGUGCGAUAGAUAGUCAGCGGCAAAGCGAAAGCAUUAGUGAUCCACCUGGGGGGAGUACGGCGGCAACGGCCUGAAACCUCCAAAGGGAAUUGAC
Molecule: ribosomal RNA, 882 nt
Filed under: uncultured bacterium
Lineage: Bacteria
Description: bacterial SSU rRNA
Rfam family: Bacterial small subunit ribosomal RNA
Source: RNAcentral